RNAcentral lists this ribosomal RNA (253 nucleotides) under uncultured bacterium. Its description in RNAcentral is "partial 16S ribosomal RNA". It matches the Rfam family "Bacterial small subunit ribosomal RNA", at positions 524 to 776 of the family's 1533-position model. The record is from RNAcentral.
GACGUAGGGCGCGAGCGUUGUCCGGAUUUAUUGGGCGUAAAGAGCUCGUAGGCGGCUUGUCGCGUCGUCCGUGAAAACCUGCAGCUCAACUGCAGGCUUGCGGGCGAUACGGGCAGGCUAGAGUUCGGUAGGGGAGACUGGAAUUCCUGGUGUAGCGGUGAAAUGCGCAGAUAUCGGGAGGAACACCGGUGGCGAAGGCGGUUCUCUGGGCCUUACCUGACGCUGAAGAGCGAAAGCGUGGGGAGCGAACAGG